This 68-nucleotide transfer RNA is filed under the name Scolytinae sp. BMNH 1039896. RNAcentral describes it as "tRNA-Asn". Lineage: Eukaryota; Metazoa; Arthropoda; Insecta; Coleoptera; Curculionidae. The record is from RNAcentral.
UUAAUUGAAACCAAAAACGAGGUAAAUUAUUGUUAAUAAUUUCAUUGAUUUAAUCUAAUCCAAUUAAA